Molecule: small RNA, 185 nt
Organism: Listeria monocytogenes EGD-e
Lineage: Bacteria; Bacillati; Bacillota; Bacilli; Caryophanales; Listeriaceae
Rfam family: Listeria sRNA rli60
Source: Rfam
UGAUAUUAAUUUUUUUCAAAAAUGUGCGACUAAUCGAAAAAAAUAAAACCAUUUAACGAAGGAGAUAAUGACUUAUGAAAACGACCAAAUCAGUCAUUACAAUUUUAUUACUCUAGAAGGACUUUGAGCACUGUAGAAAUUUACAGUAGUUUGAGUCCUGUUUACGUUAAAUGGGAUUCUAGCAA